GAUUCUGAUUACUUAGAGGCUUUUGAAGACUCUUCAUUUUGUUGUUUUUGUUCUCUCUCUAAUCUUGAAUUACCAUAUUGACAUCUUUCCUCUAUCCAAUUAAAAAUGUCUUUGAAUACAAUCUCCAAAUUUUCAGGUGGCUCACCAUACAAUAAACCAUGCCACAUUCCAGGGUACAAUUUCAGUGUCUUAUCUUUGCUUGAUGCCACUUCAUGUAAUUGUUUGCUCACUGAUGGAUCAGUCACUCUAUCUUCCUCACCAUGUAAAAUCAAAAAAGGAAGUGAAACUUCAUCUAGUGUUUCCUCAAUUUUUGUAGCAACCCUGCUAAGUUCA
RNAcentral lists this long non-coding RNA (333 nucleotides) under Medicago truncatula (barrel medic). RNAcentral describes it as "long non-coding RNA (MTRU_LNC007920)". The record is from RNAcentral. Lineage: Eukaryota; Viridiplantae; Streptophyta; Magnoliopsida; Fabales; Fabaceae.